Molecule: ribosomal RNA, 254 nt
Filed under: uncultured bacterium
Lineage: Bacteria
Description: partial 16S ribosomal RNA
Rfam family: Archaeal small subunit ribosomal RNA
Source: RNAcentral
UACCGGCGGCUCGAGUGGUGGCCGCUAUUACUGGGCUUAAAGGGUCCGUAGCUUGAUAUACAAGUCCCUUGAGAAAUCCGCCAGCUUAACUGGCGGGCGUUCAGGGGAAACUGUAUUUCUAGGGACCGGGAGAGGUGAGAGGUACUGCCGGGGUAGGAGUGAAAUCCUGUAAUCCCGGUGGGACCACCUAUGGCGAAGGCAUCUCACCAGAACGGGUCCGACAGUGAGGGACGAAAGCUGGGGGAGCAAACCGG